UCUUGGGUUGAGUGUUGUGCGCAGCGCGCCUGCUCCGGAGCGGAGCUGACCAGGCAGCAGUUGAGCAUCAGAAGCUCUGGUCCUGAGCGCUGGGUGCGAGCACCGUGCGAGCAAGUGAUGCCGGACUGAACGCAAAGGAAAAAGCAAAAGGUGCGGCUCCUACUGCCAGGUGACCCGGCCUCUCCACAGUUACCUGGCUCAGUACUUGGCUGCCUGAGCCACAGGACGCGCGUCAGGACUGCUUCCCCUGGAAUUUGUAAUCGGAACAGGGAGAGAUGCUGAGGGACCUGGGCUCCCCUGACUUGCCCAGUGUGCUCUGGGGCCACGUCUGUGUCAUAGCUCGCUCAGGACACAGCACAGGAACUGGGGCGUGAUGCCCAGAGCUGACCAGGGAGGAGCACGCACACGAGACGCAAAGCUGUUGGAGGCAGGAGAGCUGCUGGACGAAUGGUAACUGGCUUAGUAUUCCAGAGAAUUCCGUGAAGUUCUAGGUCUGUGGGGGUGGGGAGGGUGAGCACAUUCUUGCCUGAGAACCCCAGAAAUGGCCAACAAUGGGAACUCUUAAGGAUUCCCUGGGGUAAGAAGGACCUUGCAAGGAGCACUUAGACCUGAGGUCUGUCCAUCAGUUCGUGCCAGUGGGUACCCGCCCCUUCUGAUCCCAGGAAAAGAGGAGAGGUUUCCUCUGAGGGUUGGAAGUAGAGGACCUGGCCUCAGAGAUCCCAGCCUAACCUGGGCUGCAGGUCCUGAACUGAAAACAGGGAGUGGGAAGGAAUGUUGAUUACUGAGCAGGGAAAUGCCCGGUGUCUUCCUGACUCUGCUUCUAGAAUCCCAGCAGUUAACAUCUGGCCAGCACCUGGAGGGUUUGUCACAGAGAGGGUUGGAUGCCACCUAAGAUGUGGGGUGCCCACGUCUUACGACUUGGGACUUGGGACCUUGGACCCCUACUGGGAGACCUGUGGGUGGAUAAGCUCUGUCUGUCCUGCCAGCAGCAUUUGAAUCUCACUCUUCAAUGUGAAUAAAUAGCCAAGAUCACCUGACCUUGGAGGGAAGGUUCCCAGAUGAGAUGGUGAUAAACACCAACAGAAAGAGGAGUUCUGCGCAGGGAGAGACAGUGCAGAGAGCGGAGAACGUCGGAGAAGCAGAGACGAGAGGCUAGCCCCCAAGCGUGACUUUGCUGGCUUCCCAGUGUUCACGUCCUCUGGAGUCCCUGCCUUGCCCAUCCCUGGUUUCUGUGGCACAACCCUCUGUCUGCCAAAGAGCCCCCAGGUGCUGAAGAUGCUAUGAAUGUGUUUCCUUCCCUUCUGACCAAAGGGGUGCCUGCCCCCACCCCUCAUCCUGCUGACCCCAGCAGCUUGGAAGAAGAGGCCUCCCCUGGGUUAGCAGUCGGCCCAGCAUCUCUGCCAAGUGACCCUGGCAGCUGCAGCCUCCCCAAGCCCCCAGGGAACCAGGGGCAUGUCCAAAAGGCUCCAUCUGAGGCUGGCUCAGCUCCCGGCUGCCCUCUUGCUGGCAGGGGAUGGAGCCAAUUGGCCCUGUGUCUGCAUUGGGAGCUGUGAGCCCACGCUUGUUUGUAGCCGUCACCAGUGUCCUCUCUCUUUCGCUGGACCAGGCAGGGCUCAGGCUCCUUUGUGUCCUCUCUCCUCCAUGUCCAGAAGCUCUGGGGCCACGGUCUUGAUUAACCUAACCCUCUUCAAAUGAAUAAAUAAUAUGUCUCUAAAUAGGACUUUAAAUAUCUGAACAGCAGCUGUGAACGUUCAUUCAGUUGCUGCACGUUUAUGAAGCGUUUUGUCUCUGCCUAUAGGACUUAGUCCUUUUUUGUAAUUAGCGCAGAUGUAUUUUCUAGGUUCUAAUAUCAAAUACCAAUAAUUUCAUAAAUGGGUCGAAAAGAAUGAGGUUGUUUUGAUAACGUGAAUAUUUGAAGUAAGGGUUUGACGACUGCGUGAUCAGCAAGUCAUCAUCAAGUUGAUGGGGUUUGUCAUCAACAUCAGGGCAUUUUGAAGAGUGAAACCAGGCACGUGACACGAAACUGGGCACGUGACAU
Sus scrofa (pig) is the source of this 2038-nucleotide non-coding RNA. The record is from RefSeq and is a predicted model, not a curated record. Lineage: Eukaryota; Metazoa; Chordata; Mammalia; Artiodactyla; Suidae.